This 2301-nucleotide ribosomal RNA is filed under the name human metagenome. Its description in RNAcentral is "bacterial LSU rRNA". It matches the Rfam family "Bacterial large subunit ribosomal RNA", at positions 1 to 2317 of the family's 2925-position model. The record is from RNAcentral.
GAAAGGAGAGAAGGGCACAUGAAGGAUGCCUUGGCUCUCGGAGGCGAAGAAGGACGUGACAAGCUGCGAUAAGCCGCGGUCAGGAGCAAAUAUCCCAUGACCCGCGGAUUUCCGAAUGGGGCAACCCGGCACGGGCGACCGUGCCACCGCACAGAGUGCGGGGCGAACCCGGGGAACUGAAACAUCUCAAUACCCGGAGGAAAAGAAAACAAAAGUGAUUGCGCAAGUAGUGGCGAGCGAACGCGCAGGAGCCCAAACCGGCACCGUUGAGGCGGCGACCGGGGUUGUAGGACCGCCGAUAACGCCAGCGCACUGCAGUCAGGGGAAGCCCCUGGAAAGGGGCCCCAUAGGGGGUGAGAGGCCCGUACCCGAAGACAGCACGCGCGGCAAGGCGGCACCUGAGUAGCGCGGGACACGAGAAAUCCUGUGUGAAUCUGCGGGGACCAUCCCGCAAGGCUAAAUACUACCGAGAGACCGAUAGCGAACCAGUACCGUGAGGGAAAGGUGAAAAGAACCUCGAACAGAGGAGUGAAAAAGACCCUGAAAUCAUGUGCCUACAAGCGGUCGGAGCCACCGAGUGUGGUGACGGCGUGCCUUUUGCAUAAUGAACCUACGAGUCACCAGCGCCGGCGAGGCUAAGGGCAGAAGAGGCCCGGAGCCGAAGCGAAAGCGAGUCGGAACAAGGCGUCGAGUCGGCGCGGGUGGACGCGAAACCAAGUGAUCUACCCUUGGGCAGGUUGAAGGGAGGGUAACACCUCUUGGAGGACCGAACCGGUAAGCGUUGAAAAGCUUUCGGAUGACCUGAGGGUAGGAGUGAAAGGCCAAUCAAACUUGGAGAUAGCUCGUACUCCCCGAAAUGCAUUUAGGUGCAGCCUCGGGGUGAGUGCCGCGGAGGUAGAGCGACUGAUAGGAUGCGAGGGCUUCACCGCCUAUCAAGUCCUGACAAACUCCGAAUGCCGCGGCAUGAUACCCGGGAGUGAGGGCGCGGGUGCUAAGGUCCGCGUCCGAGAGAGGAACAACUCAGACCACCGGCCAAGGCCCCCAAAUACGGGCCGAGUUGAAGACAAUAACGAGGUGGGAUCGCAUAGACAGCUAGGAUGUUGGCUUGGAAGCAGCCAUUCAUUUGAAGAGUGCGUAACAGCUCACUAGUCGAGUGAUCCCGCAUGGAUAAUAAUCGGGCAUAAGUCCGUUGCCGAAGCCGUGGAAUGCAGCAUAAAGCUGCGUUGGUAGGGGAGCAUUCCGGCAGCCGCAGAAGGUGGGGCGUGAGCCCUGCUGGAGGUACCGGAAAAGCAAAUGUAGGUAUAAGUAACGACAAGGAGGGCGAGAAACCCUCCCGCCGUAAGACCAAGGGUUCCUGAUCAACGCUAAUCGGAUCAGGGUAAGUCGGGACCUAAGGAGAAGCCGCAAGGCGCAUCCGAUGGACAAACGGUAAAUAUUCCGUUACCCUUCAUGCGAGCGACGCGGGGACGGAGAAGUGACACGGCCGCGCACUGACGGAAUAGUGCGUUGAAGCGCGUAGGUAAUGUGGCGGCAGGCAAAUCCACCGCCCCAGCCGAAACGUGACAGUACCGAGAGCCCCCGGGCGAUCGGACAGAGCCGGUAAUCAUGCUCCCAAGAAAAUCCGCUAAGCAUAUCGCAUGCAGGCCCGUACCGCAAACCGACACAGGUGGUCGGGUAGAACAUACCGAGGCGCUCGAGAGAUUCACGGUUAAGGAACUAGGCAAAUUGACCCCGUAACUUCGGGAUAAGGGGUCCCCUCCUCCGGGAGGGGCGCAGAGAAUAGGUCCAGGCAACUGUUUAACAAAAACACAGGGCUGUGCGAAGUUUAAAGACGAAGUAUACAGCCUGACACCUGCCCGGUGCCGGAAGGUUAAGAGGAGGCGUCAUCGCGAGAGAAGCGCUGAAUUGAAGCCCCGGUAAACGGCGGCCGUAACUAUAACGGUCCUAAGGUAGCGAAAUUCCUUGUCGGGUAAGUUCCGACCUGCACGAAUGGUGUAAUGAUCUGGACACUGUCUCAACCGUGAGCUCGGUGAAAUUGUAGUAUCGGUGAAGAUGCCGAUUACCCGCAACGGGACGGAAAGACCCCGUGAACCUUUACUGCAGCUUAGCACUGGGACCGGGUGCGCGAUGUGUAGGAUAGUCAGGAGGCAGCGAGACGGCGGCGCCAGCCGUCGUGGAGCCGAUGUUGAAAUACUGACCUUUGCGCAUUUGGUUUCUAACCCGCGGGAGCGGGGACACUGCUUGGCGGGUAGUUUGACUGGGGUGGUCGCCUCCAAAAGAGUAACGGAGGCUUCUAAAGGU